Molecule: transfer RNA, 74 nt
Filed under: Roseibacillus persicicus
Lineage: Bacteria; Pseudomonadati; Verrucomicrobiota; Verrucomicrobiia; Verrucomicrobiales; Verrucomicrobiaceae
Description: tRNA-His
Rfam family: tRNA
About the family: Transfer RNA (tRNA) molecules are approximately 80 nucleotides in length. Their secondary structure includes four short double-helical elements and three loops (D, anti-codon, and T loops).
Source: RNAcentral
UGGACUAUGGUGUAUGAGUUGCAUUCGACAUUGUGAAUGUCGCGGAACGGGUGCGAAUCCCGUUGGUCCUCCCA